UACGUAGGGUCCUAGCGUUGUUCGGAAUUACUGGGCGUAAAGGGAGCGUAGGCGGGAUCGUAAGUUAGAAGUAUAAUCCACCGGCUUAACCGGUGAUCUGCUUUUAAUACUGCGGUUCUUGAGUUUGGAAGAGGGAGAUGGAAUUCCAGGUGUAGCGGUGGAAUGCGUAGAUAUCUGGAAGAACACCAGCAGCGAAGGCGGUCUCCUGGUCCUAUACUGACGCUGAGGCUCGAAAGCUAGGGGAG
RNAcentral lists this ribosomal RNA (245 nucleotides) under uncultured bacterium. RNAcentral's name for it is "partial 16S ribosomal RNA". It matches the Rfam family "Bacterial small subunit ribosomal RNA", at positions 524 to 768 of the family's 1533-position model. The record is from RNAcentral.